GAGCGUCGAGGAUGUUCUAGAUGGUGAUGACACAACAAUACAGAGUUCCAGAUUAGAAUCACUGAGCGUCGAGGAUGUUCUAGAUGGUGAUGACACAACAAUACAGAGUUAGAUCAUUUUGACGUGCGGAGCAACUUCAACAUUUUGUUUGUUUGUUGGAGAAGGUGGUUUGAGCUUUCUAAUUGGGCAGUUAAAGCUUGUCUGUUAAAACACGUUAUGUUAGUGAUUCCUUUACGUUGGCAGUUACCUGUAUGUAGGCCAGUACAACAACAACAAAAAUGUAUGAGAUGUAUGCAUUCACUACUGUAAGUCGCUCUGGAUAAGAGCGUCUGCUAAAAUGACUCAAAUGUAAAAUGUAGGUCUAUUGUAGCUCGGGGUUUUCUGUCUCUCCAACCCCUCUUCAUGGCGCCGACCCUCCGGGUUUGGAGAGGGUCCAUUUCGUCUCCCCAAAGGUCAAAGUUCAGACCCUUGUUUAGCCUAGGUUCUGUCAAAAUCAAAUCAAAAUACAAUAAAAUAAAAAUGUUAUUGGUCGUGUACACGUGUUUAGCAGAUGUUAUUGCCGGUGUAAUAUCUAACAAUUACACAACAAUACACGAGUAGCCUGGUGGUUAGAGUAGGCAGGUAGCCUAGUUGUUAGAGGAAACAAGUAGUCUAGUGGUUAGAGGAGGCGGGUAGCCUAGUGGUUAGAGGAGGAGGCAGGUAGCCUAGUGGUUAGAGGAGGCAGGUAGCCUAGUGGUUAGAGGAGGCAGGUAGCCUAGUGGUUAGAGGAGGCGGGUAGCCUAGUGGUUAGAGGAGGCAGGUAGCCUAGUGGUUAGAGGAGGCAGGUAGCCUAGUGGUUAGAGGAGGCAGGUAGCCUAGUGGUUAGAGGAGGCAGGUAGCCUAGUGGUUAGAGGAGGCAGGUAGCCUAGUGGUUAGAGGAGGCAGGUAGCCUAGUGGUUAGAGUGUUGGCC
Molecule: long non-coding RNA, 950 nt
Filed under: Salmo salar (Atlantic salmon)
Lineage: Eukaryota; Metazoa; Chordata; Actinopteri; Salmoniformes; Salmonidae
Description: lncRNA (ENSSSAG00000096712.1)
Rfam family: UnaL2 LINE 3' element (bases 293-347)
Source: RNAcentral